CAGAAUGCUGACAGCACCCAUGAAACCCUAACAAUGUGGCUGCCUACAAGAGACCUGGAUAGCGACAACCACAGUGGACACCACAAUGUGGAUGGGGAAAACUGCGCAAGGCCCUUCUGUAGGUGAAGAGACAUAGGCAAUGGUUGGUUAGAGGAAAAUCAUCUUCUCCGUGGAUAAAGGAGGAAGUGAGUGGGAGAAGGUGAGGGAAACAGCACAAUUACAGGACUCACGGGGGACUCCUAGAAAAUAACACGACGGAGGAAUCCGAAACCUCCAGUGUAACAAUGAAACCAUGAUGUAGAGGAUAAUAGUUUUGUGACAGGAAAUUUAAAAAAGAAAGGAAAAAAGUCUCUCCAAGCAAAUAACCAUUAUUUUAAAAAUCAGCAAGUUAGCUCCGUGAACCAUCUACCAGUCAUCUUGCUAUUCUCUUCUGAAGCAGCGCAAAUUCUGCUACACAUGUGGGAAGAUUUUAGGAAUUGAUGCAGCAAACGUGACUCGAUUCGCAAUGUGAAGAAACGGUGCGUGCCGUUUGACAUUCCCAGCUCCAGACGGGGGGAUGACCUGCUUCGUCCGCUAGUGAUGACUGAUUCUUCAGGUACUGCAGAAGCCGUGUAGAGAACGACCAGAUAAGACUGAAGAGACUAUAGUCAACUAGAACAUCAUACAAGCAGUGGGUCAUCUGGUUAGUAUAGACCCAUCCUACUCAUGAGGAAGAGACUUCACGGAUCAAGUAUAGACUUAUAUUUUAAAUAUUAAUCACUGGUUAUCUGAAAUUCAAAUUUAACUGGCAAUGUUGUAUUUUUAUUUACAAUCACUGGGAACAUUCACUGUAGGUUGAGUGACUCCAGAAAAAUAGAAACUUAGUUGGAUAAGGAUGAUUUCAAUCUAGAUUGGAGUUCAAAAAGAAAUAUGUGGAAAUGACACUUUUCUCAUCAUGGCUGAAUUGCCUGUGUGUUGUAGACACUGCCUCUCUAAUGUCCACACCGAGAGCUCACUAAUCAAAAAGUCACAUCUCAAAUAAAAACAUAGGAAUCUUCCCUUAGGAGUUUAAACUCUUUCCCUGGACAAAGGGUCUAGGAGAUACAGUGGCCUUCUUGAUGCUCAACCAAUGUCUGAGUCACGUAAGGGACAGCUAGGGUUUCGUCACCUUCAUCUUCCCAGGCAUUUUGCUUUGUUUCUGGCAAAGGAUGCUCUAUGUACCCGACUUUUUGCUCCAAACAUACUUUCUCUCGAAGAGUCAAAGAGUGUUUCCACAUCAAAGAGAUUCCCACCUGAAAACAGCAAGAAGAGAUGGUUGCUAACCACUGAAAGAGCUCAGCUAUCUGAGGAUCCAGAUGCUUGUGAAGAGAAAGAAGCACAUUCUUGGAAAGGAUAAGACCAUGGCCAAGUUAGAGGAUGAAAAGGACCAGCUUUCUCCUGUCUCCCGAGGGAAACUGAGGUCCCGUGACAUUGCUUCAUCUUUCUGGAGCCAAGGCAGCAGAGAGCAGAGACAGGCAUUCCCUAGGGUCGGUAAGGAAAUGACUAAAGGUCUCAGUUGGAAGGGGCCGCUGAGAUCAUGGAGGGGCCUUCCUCCUCUCAUGCAUUUGAGAAUGGAAUCUGU
Non-coding RNA from Rattus norvegicus (Norway rat), 1600 nucleotides. The record is from RefSeq and is a predicted model, not a curated record. NCBI's taxonomy places the organism in Eukaryota, Metazoa, Chordata, Mammalia, Rodentia, Muridae.